AAAACGGCGUUAUUUAAAGCCACAAAAUUUUGAAUAACGCAAUUUU
Stegodyphus mimosarum is the source of this 46-nucleotide non-coding RNA. The record is from Rfam. NCBI's taxonomy places the organism in Eukaryota, Metazoa, Arthropoda, Arachnida, Araneae, Eresidae.